UGGGACUCGGGGUAGUGGCGCACGGGUGCGUACGCGUGGGAACCUGCCUUUAGGUUCGGAAUAACUCAGAGAAAUUUGAGCUAAUACCGGAUAAUGUCUUCGGACCAAAGAUUUAUCGCCUUUAGAUGGGCCCGCGUUAGAUUAGAUAGUUGGUGGGGUAAUGGCCUACCAAGUCGACGAUCUAUAGCUGGUCUGAGAGGAUGAUCAGCCACACUGGGACUGAGACACGGCCCAGACUCCUACGGGAGGCAGCAGUGGGGAAUAUUGGACAAUGGGCGAAAGCCUGAUCCAGCAAUGCCGCGUGAGUGAUGAAGGCCUUAGGGUUGUAAAGCUCUUUUACCAGGGAUGAUAAUGACAGUACCUGGAGAAUAAGCUCCGGCUAACUCCGUGCCAGCAGCCGCGGUAAUACGGAGGGAGCUAGCGUUGUUCGGAAUUACUGGGCGUAAAGCGCGCGUAGGCGGCUUUUUAAGUCAGGGGUGAAAUCCCGGAGCUCAACUCCGGAACUGCCCUUGAAACUGGAUGGCUAGAAUACUGGAGAGGUGAGUGGAAUUCCGAGUGUAGAGGUGAAAUUCGUAGAUAUUCGGAAGAACACCAGUGGCGAAGGCGACUCACUGGACAGUUAUUGACGCUGAGGUGCGAAAGCGUGGGGA
RNAcentral lists this ribosomal RNA (650 nucleotides) under uncultured bacterium. RNAcentral describes it as "bacterial SSU rRNA". It matches the Rfam family "Bacterial small subunit ribosomal RNA", at positions 81 to 767 of the family's 1533-position model. The record is from RNAcentral.